UGAAAGUUCCUCAUGUCCGCAUCUGGCAUG
This 30-nucleotide non-coding RNA is filed under the name Rattus norvegicus (Norway rat). The record is from RNAcentral. Lineage: Eukaryota; Metazoa; Chordata; Mammalia; Rodentia; Muridae.